This is a long non-coding RNA of Octopus bimaculoides (California two-spot octopus), 477 nucleotides long. NCBI's taxonomy places the organism in Eukaryota, Metazoa, Mollusca, Cephalopoda, Octopoda, Octopodidae. The record is from RefSeq and is a predicted model, not a curated record.
CCGUCUUCUCUCUCUCUUUCUGUGUUUGCAGUGUUUGUGUGUAUGGUGUGUAUGUAUGUUGUUGAAUGAAUGAGAGAGAGAGAGAGUGAGUGAGUGAGAGAAAGAAAGAAAGAGAAUGAGAGAAAUGAAAUCGUUGAAAGAAUGAGAGAGAGAGAGAGAGAGUGAGACUCACUGGGAAAUAAAUAGAGAGAGAGAGAGAGAGAGAGAGUGAGCGAGAGAGAGAGAGGGAAAAUAGAUGACUACAAUGGAGUAGCUGCUUUAAAAAUCAUUUGAUUAUAUAUACUAUUCUGCUCAAAAUCCAGUAUCCAACUAUUAAAAGUGAAGCGAGAGAAAACAAGCAGUUCCUGUUGUAAUGGGGGACCAACUCUGGUAAAUAAAUCCACCCCAAAUCUAGAGAAGGCCCUGAACAACUUACCUUUGGAUACCUCUGAUCUCAUCCCCUCUCACAUGUCUGAGAAUUUGUCUACCACAUCGUCU